RNAcentral lists this long non-coding RNA (260 nucleotides) under Elaeis guineensis (African oil palm). Its description in RNAcentral is "long non-coding RNA (EGUI_LNC058157)". The record is from RNAcentral. Lineage: Eukaryota; Viridiplantae; Streptophyta; Magnoliopsida; Arecales; Arecaceae.
AUGGAGAUGGGUGAGUAAUACAUGUGUUCACAUGUGAUAUAUUACUGUUUAUAUUAAAAUGAAGCAAAUGUUCUUGACUUUGUUUUAUUGGAAAUAGAUUCGAUGAAUACUAUCACAAAAUGGUUAUUGAUGCUAUUGCUUCAUGCAUAAAAGGUAAGUUUGAGGAGGCAAAGCCAUCAUAGAAAAAGUUUUCUCAAACUACUCGAGAUUUUUGGUUGGAAGAAUUCAAGGUAAUGACGUGUAAAACUUUAAAUUGAUUG